Molecule: small nucleolar RNA, 117 nt
Organism: Hevea brasiliensis (rubber tree)
Lineage: Eukaryota; Viridiplantae; Streptophyta; Magnoliopsida; Malpighiales; Euphorbiaceae
Product: small nucleolar RNA snoR100
Exons: 1
Source: RefSeq, a predicted model, not a curated record
AAAUUAAGGCAGCAUUUUAGUAUGCACAUAAAUUGAGAUAUAUGGAUCCAACAUGUCUGCUUUCACUGAUGAUUUGGUGGGGACUUUGAUUUGGGAACAUGGUUCUGACUGAAAAUU